This 253-nucleotide ribosomal RNA is filed under the name uncultured bacterium. RNAcentral describes it as "partial 16S ribosomal RNA". It matches the Rfam family "Bacterial small subunit ribosomal RNA", at positions 524 to 776 of the family's 1533-position model. The record is from RNAcentral.
UACGAAGGGGGCUAGCGUUGUUCGGAAUUACUGGGCGUAAAGGGCGCGUAGGCGGUCCCUCAAGUCAGGCGUGAAAGCCCCGGGCUCAACCUGGGAACCGCGCUUGAGACUGAUGGGCUAGAGUUCGGGAGAGGAUGGUGGAAUUCCCAGUGUAGAGGUGAAAUUCGUAGAUAUUGGGAAGAACACCGAUGGCGAAGGCAGCCAUCUGGACCGACACUGACGCUGAGGCGCGAAAGCUAGGGGAGCAAACGGG